UUUGUGGACCAUUGGAUGAAGAUCGACGGUCGGGAUUUAAUUUUGGGGGAGAUGUUUUUGACUUGAUGGUAUUGAUGGUGACACAAUAAGGCUCCCCACCUUUUUGGCAGAGGGAUGGGUCUUUCCUUUUCUUCCCUUCUUAAGUCGACUCCCUCUCCUUUCUCUAUAGUCUCUCGGUUUUAGCUUGAAGGUGGUGGGUUCUUUGCCGAUUUUUCUCUCUCUCUCUCUUGGAAGGUGAUUUGCAAGUCAUGGAGGGCUGUUCCUGAGCCUGUAAAAUCAGCCAUAAGGAGGAGAAGAAGCUGCGGAAAGGAGGAAGCAGAAGCUGUCUAGAUUUGGCCAUAUGGGUUGUGUUAUUUCCAGUAUAUUGGAUGGAUGCGGUGCAUUGGAUUCAGGGAAGGUUCGAGAUAAAAGAAGCACAACACCAUCUUGAGAAAAUUCUUGACAUUUGAGAAUUGAAUGGAAAUAUAUGUUCAUGAUAUAUGACAUCUCAAGAAGAAAAGAACUUACGUGUGAGGGGAUCAUAAACUCGUUGGACCUUUAGGCCAAGAGGAUAGCCAACAAAUACACAACGAUGAGCUUGUUGAUCUAGUUUAUGUAUUGGCAUAUGAUUGGUGGCAUAACACGGAAAUCCAAAAGUGCAGAGAUGGUUGUACACAGGUGGUCUUCUGUGGAGUAGUUGAUAUGGAGAUUUAUUAAAAAGAAGUGACAUAGGCAAGCGAUUGAUCAAAUAGCAUAAUGUAUCAAAUCAAAAGCUGCAUGUGAAGAAAUUGAACUAGAUGGAAAUGAUAAACAAGUUUGUUUGGCUAAAUGGCAUAUUUCACAGACACGAUUGGAAUUAAAAUGAAUUUCUGGAUUGACUUUACUAAGAACUUGAAGAGGGCCUCAAGAUCGAUGUCCAAGUCUUUGGUGCUACAGAUGUGAGCGUUAGCUGAUGUUGUAGGUUAAGGUCAUGUUCUGAUGUUUUGUAAGGCAGUAGAGACCAUUAUGUUGCUUGCCUACGCCAAUCAUCUUGCUCGUAGCAACAUCCUGCACAACACAAAAAUCAGGGAAGAAUAUCAUUAUACACUUGCUAAUAGUAAAUUGACUUGGAAUUUAGGAACUUUAAGCACUUCAUCAAGUUUGAUAUGUGGUGUGACAUUUAAAGAACCAAUUGAUUCAAUUGUGUCUGACCACUAUUUAGCAACUAAAUAGUGGCUGAUUUGGGUACAUACUUUUUAUCUAAUGACUCAGUUGAAGAUGUUACAUGAUCUGUAGCUCCACUAUCAAUAAUCCAGGGUAAGUUUGAGAGACAAGUGACUAGAAUAAUGACAGGUGAUGGCGUAAUAAUACCCGUGUUAUUUGCAAAGUGUGGAGGAUUACCAUCAUUAUUUUGCCGAAACAUGUUCAUCAAUUGAAGGUACUCCUCGAUUGUAAAUCUU
Long non-coding RNA from Olea europaea var. sylvestris, 1418 nucleotides. RefSeq lists it as uncharacterized. The record is from RefSeq and is a predicted model, not a curated record. Lineage: Eukaryota; Viridiplantae; Streptophyta; Magnoliopsida; Lamiales; Oleaceae. The transcript is spliced from 3 exons.